This 664-nucleotide ribosomal RNA is filed under the name uncultured bacterium. RNAcentral describes it as "bacterial SSU rRNA". The stretch from base 1 to 509 matches the Rfam family "Bacterial small subunit ribosomal RNA", at positions 338 to 873 of the family's 1533-position model. The record is from RNAcentral.
CCUACGGGAGGCAGCAGUGGGGAAUAUUGCGCAAUGGCCGAAAGGCUGACGCAGCGACGCCGCGUGGGGGAUGAAGCAUUUCGGUGUGUAAACCCCCUGUUGCUCGGGACGAACAACUGGAUUUGUCCAGUCUGACGGUACCGGGUGAGGAAGCACCGGCUAACUCCGUGCCAGCAGCCGCGGUAAUACGGAGGGUGCGAGCGUUGUCCGGAAUCACUGGGCGUAAAGGGCGCGUAGGCGGUCUGCUAAGCGUGUGGUGAAAGCUCGGGGCUCAACCCCGAGUCUGCCAUGCGAACUGGUGGACUAGAGCACUGUAGAGGCAGGUGGAAUUCCGGGUGUAGCGGUGGAAUGCGUAGAGAUCCGGAAGAACACCGGUGGCGAAGGCGGCCUGCUGGGCAGUAGCUGACGCUGAGGCGCGACAGCGUGGGGAGCAAACAGGAUUAGAUACCCUGGUAGUCCACGCCGUAAACGAAUAGGGGACUAGGUGNGUGGGGUAGGGCGGACCCGCCCGACGUGGCGGCCGGCGACGACGACUAACGUAACCGUACCCGUACCCGGUACCGGGUACCGGGUACCGGGACCGGAACCGGACCGGACGGUUAACGGUUAAACGGUAAAACGGUUAAAAGGUUAAAGGGUUAACGGUUACGGUUAGGUUACGGUA